This 649-nucleotide ribosomal RNA is filed under the name Salmonella enterica. Its description in RNAcentral is "partial 23S ribosomal RNA". It matches the Rfam family "Bacterial large subunit ribosomal RNA", at positions 2156 to 2804 of the family's 2925-position model. Lineage: Bacteria; Pseudomonadati; Pseudomonadota; Gammaproteobacteria; Enterobacterales; Enterobacteriaceae. The record is from RNAcentral.
UUUGAAGUGUGGACGCCAGUCUGCAUGGAGCCGACCUUGAAAUACCACCCUUUAAUGUUUGAUGUUCUAACGUGGACCCGUAAUCCGGGUUGCGGACAGUGUCUGGUGGGUAGUUUGACUGGGGCGGUCUCCUCCUAAAGAGUAACGGAGGAGCACGAAGGUUGGCUAAUCCUGGUCGGACAUCAGGAGGUUAGUGCAAUGGCAUAAGCCAGCUUGACUGCGAGCGUGACGGCGCGAGCAGGUGCGAAAGCAGGUCAUAGUGAUCCGGUGGUUCUGAAUGGAAGGGCCAUCGCUCAACGGAUAAAAGGUACUCCGGGGAUAACAGGCUGAUACCGCCCAAGAGUUCAUAUCGACGGCGGUGUUUGGCACCUCGAUGUCGGCUCAUCACAUCCUGGGGCUGAAGUAGGUCCCAAGGGUAUGGCUGUUCGCCAUUUAAAGUGGUACGCGAGCUGGGUUUAGAACGUCGUGAGACAGUUCGGUCCCUAUCUGCCGUGGGCGCUGGAGAACUGAGGGGGGCUGCUCCUAGUACGAGAGGACCGGAGUGGACGCAUCACUGGUGUUCGGGUUGUCAUGCCAAUGGCACUGCCCGGUAGCUAAAUGCGGAAGAGAUAAGUGCUGAAAGCAUCUAAGCACGAAACUUGCCCCGAGA